CGAGAGGAGGACGGAAUAGUAAAUUUACAAUAUUGGGAAAAGGCGCGUGAAGUCCAGCGCCCCCAUUAUAUAAUCCCGAGUCCCUGAUUGAUUUUUGAUCAUUUCGUCUUUCGUACUGUUAGGGCUCUCUCUUUCGGAUUCCGCUUUUGCUUUCGAAUCCGCACCAGACCGUAGCCCUAGAUCGCAGCCAUGUCGUCGAAGCAAGGUGGAAAGGCAAAGCCUUUGAAGCAACCCAAGGCUGACAA
Juglans microcarpa x Juglans regia is the source of this 245-nucleotide long non-coding RNA. RefSeq lists it as uncharacterized. The record is from RefSeq and is a predicted model, not a curated record. NCBI's taxonomy places the organism in Eukaryota, Viridiplantae, Streptophyta, Magnoliopsida, Fagales, Juglandaceae. The transcript is spliced from 2 exons.